Molecule: transfer RNA, 84 nt
Filed under: Daphnia pulex (common water flea)
Lineage: Eukaryota; Metazoa; Arthropoda; Branchiopoda; Diplostraca; Daphniidae
Rfam family: tRNA
About the family: Transfer RNA (tRNA) molecules are approximately 80 nucleotides in length.
Source: Rfam by way of RNAcentral
GGUCGUGUGGCCUAACGGAUAAGGCGUCGGACUUCUAACUUGUCAGCAAUCCAAAAAUUGCGGGUUCGAAUCCCGCCACGAUUA